GAUGAACGCUGGCGGCGUGCCUAAUACAUGCAAGUCGAGCGAACAGACGAGUAGCUUGCUCCUCUGACGUUAGCGGCGGACGGGUGAGUAACACGUGGAUAACCUACCUAUAAGACUGGGAUAACUUCGGGAAACCGGAGCUAAUACCGGAUAAUAUAUUGAACCGCAUGGUUCAAUAGUGAAAGACGGUUUUGCUGUCACUUAUAGAUGGAUCCGCGCCGCAUUAGCUAGUUGGUAAGGUAACGGCUUACCAAGGCGACGAUGCGUAGCCGACCUGAGAGGGUGAUCGGCCACACUGGAACUGAGACACGGUCCAGACGCCUACGGGAGGCAGCAGUAGGGAAUCUUCCGCAAUGGGCGAAAGCCUGACGGAGCAACGCCGCGUGAGUGAUGAAGGUCUUCGGAUCGUAAAACUCUGUUAUUAGGGAAGAACAAAUGUGUAAGUAACUAUGCACGUCUUGACGGUACCUAAUCAGAAAGCCACGGCUAACUACGU
Molecule: ribosomal RNA, 496 nt
Filed under: uncultured bacterium
Lineage: Bacteria
Description: partial 16S ribosomal RNA
Rfam family: Bacterial small subunit ribosomal RNA
Source: RNAcentral